UCUUGAACCGUGGCUUCUGGAGCUAACGCGUUAAAUCGACCGCCUGGGGAGUACGGCCGCAAGGUUAAAACUCAAAUGAAUUGACGGGGGCCCGCACAAGCGGUGGAGCAUGUGGUUUAAUUCGAUGCAACGCGAAGAACCUUACCUACUCUUGACAUCCAGCGAAUCCUUUAGAGAUAGAGGAGUGCCUUCGGGAACGCUGAGACAGGUGCUGCAUGGCUGUCGUCAGCUCGUGUUGUGAAAUGUUGGGUUAAGUCCCGCAACGAGCGCAACCCUUAUCCUUUGUUGCCAGCACGUAAUGGUGGGAACUCAAAGGAGACUGCCGGUGAUAAACCGGAGGAAGGUGGGGAUGACGUCAAGCCAUCAUGGCCCUUACGAGUAGGGCUACACACGUGCUACAAUGGCAGAUACAAAGAGAAGCGACCUCGCGAGAGCAAGCGGAACUCAUAAAGUCUGUCGUAGUCCGGAUUGGAGUCUGCAACUCGACUCCAUGAAGUCGGAAUCGCUAGUAAUCGUAGAUCAGAAUGCUACGGUGAAUACGUUCCCGGGCCUUGUACACACCGCCCGUCACACCAUGGGAGUGGGUUGCAAAAGAAGUAGGUAGCUUAACCUUCGGGAGGGCGCUUACCACUUUGUGAUUCAUGACUGGGGUGAAGUCGUAACAAGGUAACCAAGGGCGAAUUCGCGGCC
Molecule: ribosomal RNA, 690 nt
Filed under: uncultured bacterium
Lineage: Bacteria
Description: bacterial SSU rRNA
Rfam family: Bacterial small subunit ribosomal RNA
Source: RNAcentral